GAUCCAAGUCUAGGAGGGACUUGAGCAAAAUCAGACGUUACCAGUGUGAAGAGUUGGGGCAUCUAGCCAGAGAUUGCCCCCAACUCAAAAAUCGGACGGUGGCUGUUGUAGCGACGGCCAGCAGCGAUUCAGAGAUAAAUAUUCUAGAGAUAUCUGAUGAUGUAUCUACUUCUUCCCAGCAGUGGAUAUUAGAUUCUGCAUGCACUCAUCAUGUAUGUUGCAGAGAGUAGCAGUUUGACUCAUUGGAGAACAGUGAGGGCACUGUAUAUCUAUCGGAUGGAUCGAGCUAUGCGAUCAGAGGCAUCGGGAUGGUC
RNAcentral lists this long non-coding RNA (314 nucleotides) under Elaeis guineensis (African oil palm). Its description in RNAcentral is "long non-coding RNA (EGUI_LNC074342)". The record is from RNAcentral. Lineage: Eukaryota; Viridiplantae; Streptophyta; Magnoliopsida; Arecales; Arecaceae.